Molecule: long non-coding RNA, 2213 nt
Organism: Peromyscus leucopus (white-footed mouse)
Lineage: Eukaryota; Metazoa; Chordata; Mammalia; Rodentia; Cricetidae
Exons: 4
Source: RefSeq, a predicted model, not a curated record
CCAGUGCUACACUGAGAAAUCCUGUCUCAAAUAACCAAAAAAGAAAAAAAAGUAAGUCAUUUUGAAAUAGCAGGAAAAUACUGGAAGUUAUAAAUAGAGGUUUUUACAUCUGCUAUGUUAGUUCUCACAACUAUCUAUGAAGUAUAUAUUAUCAUGAUCUCUAGUUUAUACAGGACACACAAAUAGAGAUGAUAUAUAAUUCCCCUAACUCUACAAAUUGAGUGUUCUCCCACAAUCUGUUCUCUUUAUAUGAUCAUAUUGCUUUUGCAAACAUGUAACAUGAAAAAUUUAAACUACAGUCAUUUUAAAAGGAAAACCAAAUAUUCGUCCAAUUUGGAAAAGUCUAUUAUAAUACACUUCAGUUGUUCUAUUUUGUAUAAGUCAAGAGCAGUGACUGGAAAAAACACAGCAAUUAAACAUGCAUUUUUGAAUAUAUGACCAUAUUUAACUUACAAAGUUGUAUAUGCAGUAAGUACUAUCUUUUGCACAUUUUAAGCAGAAAAUAACUGAAAGUCUGAGGCUACUGUCACUACCCAUCAGUGUCUACACACUCCUUUUCUAGACUGUCCUGUCAAUGCCUUUCUCCUCCAUUGGAGUUCUUUUCCUUCUGUCUAGUGAAAAUCCAACUAAGCCUUCUAAACCCAGAUGAGAUACUAUCUGCUUAGAUACAGCAUUUCUAGCACUUCAAGGCAAAAUUAACACUCAUUUUUCCACCAGCACGCAGGUUAUUUAUUGUCUUUGUCAUCUGCUGUAUGUAUCUCACCUAGAUGAUACUGGGCUUGUGAUGUCAGGGGCUGUAAUAAAGGAGAAACGGUCCCGAAGGUUCUACAGCUUUAGUCAGUAAAAGGGCACAACAGUAACCAGCAUUUUGACUAAGGGAUGCCUAGGAGUCAUGCUGACAUGCUAUCAUUUUUAAAACAAACAUUUGUCCUCAUGUGAAUGACCCCAAAUGUUUCUGGCAAUGUUCCCUGCACAAAAUGUGAAAAGUGCCCAUGAAGGUUUGAGGUGAUGGAUCCCCCCUGCAACAGGAACCUGGGAGUUACAGGUGGUUAUAAGGUAAGUUCUCUUCGAGAGUAGUACAGGUUCUUGGCUGCUGACCCAUCUUUCCAGCUCCACUCUCUGUACUAGAGUAUACAUAGAAUUUUGUUCUUUCAAUAGGGAAAAUAAUUCAAGGGGCACCAGUAGUACUUCUGUGGUAAUUUAGUGGCCCAUGAUUCUCAGCCAGGCAGUUUUGUUUUCAUCUUUUCCUCUGAAACAUAUGGCUUUAGACCUAUUUUCUAUUAUUACAGGCAAACAAGAAGGAUUUACUUGUUUGAUUAAGCUCUGUAGUGAAGGUUCUACCUGAGUUAUGAGCAAGUCCUGUGGUGGGCAGGAGGAACCAGUACAACAAUGAGCAUAGAACCACAAGUUCACUGUUCAAGUUCUGGCUAUGUGACUCUGGACAAUAUAGGAAUGUUGUGGGAUACAUGUACACUGUGAAGAUGUAUUCCUGUGAUUGGCGUAAUAAAAAGCUGAACAGCCAAUAGCUAGGCAGGAGACUUCUGGGACUUCCAGGCAGAGAGAGAACACUGGAAAGAAGACAGAGUCACCAGCCAGAUGGAGAAGGAGGAUGAGUACAGAAUAAAGGGGCCUCCCUCUUCAUUUUUCACUUAGGACCUAUCACCACCUAGUGGACUGAGUAGGAAUACACCAAUGCAUCACCACAGUGGCUCACCACUUCCGUUUCAGAACAAACCGCUCGAUGGAGUCUUCAGAAUCGGAGAAGAGCUCCUGUAUCUAAAAAACGCAGUUGGAUAAUUUGUAACCACACAAAAUACAAAUAUUUAUACAAAUAACAGAUGCCAUGUACUCAAGAUAAUGCAUUGAUUAAAGAAAAACAAAAAUCUUUUGUAGGAAGCAUGGCACUGGCGUUACAAUAAGCUUUGGCUCCCAAAGAUUAACCUAACAAAAUGAAUUUACCAAGCUUAAUUCAACAAGAUAUAAAAUUUAUAAUGCCUCAAUGACUACAUGAAAUAUUUCCCCCAAGGUUAUAUGACUCAUUCAAUUUUCAAACUUCAAACCACAUCAACAAAGCAUACAUCAAGAUGCAUAAAUUGUAUUAAAACACUUGGAUAUUGUUCAUAAUAAAAGUCCUACAAGCUGGACGGUGGUGGUGCAUGCCUUUAAUUCCAACAUUCAGGAGGCAGAGACGGGUGGACCUGAGUUCGAGGCCA